UACCAAAACUAAGCUGAAGAGAAUAUUGGAAUUACGACUGCGUCCAGACCCCAACCCCAAGCCAAACCAAACACCCUCCCUCACAAAAAAUCAUUAGUCUCUCCAACCGCCUCAAUCUCUAUCUACGAUUCCACUGUCUGCAUCUCUCUAUCUCAACGAUUCGAAAAUUCUUCCGAUGCCCUAGCCCUCCAGGGCCGGUGCCACUUUCUUCUGGCGGCACCUCUGGUAGGCAAGACUCACAGGUAUUCGGGUUAAGGAUUUCUCUCGAGUUUUUAGCUGAAAUAUUCUGCAUAUUCGAUUCGACCGUGAGGAGGAGAGGAGGAACUAUUGAAUUUAAGGUUUUUGGGGCUCCGGGCGAGUGCCAUGGCUCCGACGCGUAGACGCGGACCAAACAACAAAGCCAAGGACAAGAGUCAGAUGAGUCUGGGUGAUCUUGUCCUCGCUAAGGUCAAAGGCUUCCCCGCUUGGCCUGCCAAGAUUAGUAAGCCUGAAGACUGGAAGCAGUCACCUGACCCCAAGAAAUACUUCGUUGAAUUCUUUGGAACACAAGAAAUAGGUUUUGUUGCACCUGCGGAUAUUCAGACAUUCACUAAUGAGGUUAAGAGUAAAUUAUCUGCCCGUUGUCAGGGUAAAACAGUCAAGUGCUUUGCUCAAGCUGUGAAGGAAAUUUGUGUUGCCUUUGAUGAAUUGCAAAAGAAGAAAUCAUGCGGUCUUGGAGAUGAUACUGAUAGAUCAGAUGUUGGGUGUGAGGCUUCCUCUGUCAACAGUGUGGAGGAUGAUCGGGUAGAGGUUGACUUAAAGGUUGAGACUGUUAAGAUGACAUACAAAGUUGAAAUAUUGAAUGAGGCUGUAAGCGAUUCUGACUCAAAGUUAGAGUGCAGCUUACAGACCCAAGGUGGAACUGAAAGUCCAGAUGUAAAGCCUCCCGUCUCCUGUUGUGCAAAUGAUAAUUCCUCUCUGGUCAUUUCUCCUGACAGCAGUACUAGAGUAUCUGAUAAUGCAAAACUAAAGGAAGAGGUAUUACCGAAAUCCUGUCCAGAUAAGUCUUUAUACCUUAAGAAAGAAUUGAGUGUUGGUAAAAAUGUAGAAGGUGAUGUUUCCUGCACCAAGAAACAGGGCGAGGGACAGAAGGUAUUGACAAAUGAUCACAAGUUGAAGAAGAUAGGUGGUUCAAAGAAGAGAGGUGAUAGUGCAAUGGGAAUACACAAAACUAGUACAUCUGCCAUAACGUUAUUGAAGGGUGAAAAUGAUGGUCGUUCUGUUGAUCCCCCUGAACCUCUUGAGCGAUUGAAAGAUGGAAUUAAGAGCAAAAUCAACUCUAGUAGCAGCAUACACCAGUUUUGUUCUAGCCCUCUUAAAGCUGAUUCUGGUAACAGUGCUAUAAAAAAAUCAAAAGAUUUGCUAAGAGUGAAAAAACGUGUCAAGGUUGCUGAUAAUAUGCAGGAUCCUGGUAUUGAUCCAGAUGAGGAGGCCAAGGAAAAAUCUUCUGGCGGGGAAAAGAAUGCCCAGAAUGGACAAGGAAGGCCUGAUUGUAGUGCAAAUGAUGGUUCACAAAAGUCAAACCAUGACGAUAUUGGUGAUAUUGGUGCCUAUGGAGCACAUACAAGAAGAAAAAAGAGCGACUCUCCCAGCCCCGAUUUGGUUGACAAGAAGGCAUUGAAAAAGUCAGAGUUUAAAAGCUCAACAUCAUCUGUGAAACCUGAAGGUAAUUUGCCUUCAAGAGCCCAAGGUAGUAUUUUUGGACCGAAUGCUUCUGGUGAUGAGGCUGCUCUACCUGUGACAAAGCGUCGACGUCAAGCAAUGGAGGUUAUGCCCGACUCCGAUACUGCUCCCAUUGAUGAUAAAACAGAAAGAAAAUCUACUUCAUUGAAAAAUGAGCUGUCAUCUUCCAGUGAUGUUAAGGUUCCAGGAAACCGACAGAACAAAAAACGGAGAGCAGUUUGCCUUUUUGAUGACGACAACGACGAUAAGCCAAAAACUCCUGUUCAUGAUGGAUCAGCAAGAAAUAUUACUUCAAACGUUACAGAUGCUACCAAGAGCAGUGAUGCACGUAAUGAUUCUUCCAAUAUCGCUCAGCAGGUUGGAGUUUCUGUUGCAUUUGAGGAUGGCCACUCAAAGGAGUCUUCCUCUGAAUUACAUACUGAGUCUCUGUCACCAGGCAUACGUCAAACUGAUGGGAAGAGAGAUGAAAAGGAAAUUGCUGCUCAUGUUUCUCAUAGAUCUGAGCAGCUGUCAUCCAAGGAGCAGUCAUUGUUGAAGGUGGCAAAAUUAGUGUUGAUUUCCCCAAAAAAGUCUCCCCAGUCUGGUCCUACUACCAAACCACUGGCAGAACAGCAUAAAGAGGCCAAAGCAUCGAUUAAAGUUUCUGGUACUGGUUCUCAGAAGAAGAUUCAUGCUGGGUCUGCUAAGGGUUUGGGUGUUGUUUCUAACAGCAUGAAUUCUACUCAGAAUCAAGAAACAAUUCAAAGAACCAGGCUUUCUCCAGGAGAAAGAUCUAAAAACACUCCUAAAUCAAUCUCAAGGGUUGGUGAAUCCACCGUUUUGACUGGGAAAUUAGUGGAGUAUAAUUCUUUGCCUGGGGAAAGAGUGGAAUCUGGUAGGGAAGAUAAAAAUAGUUCCCUGGUUGAUUCUAAGACUCCAGAAUCUGUUACGUCCAUGAAGCAUCUUAUCGCUGCAGCACAGGCAAAAAGAAGAGAGGCUCACUCUCAGAAUUUCUCACUUGGAAUCUUUAGUUCUUUUGUGUCUUCCUCAGAUGUCCAGGAAAAGAGCCCCAGUCCACCUGCAGUGCAGUCUCUUAUGACUGCUACUAGCAUUAUGCUGCAGGCGGAUUUGCAAGGAUUACAAAGUCACACAAUUUUGGCUUCUCCAUCAAAUCAUGGUCGCCAAUCUGCAUCGCGAAAUCAACUUGAUAUUGAAGACAUUGACGAGAGAAGAGUGAGUUCAGGCCCCACAACUGCUGGAGGCUCUCUGAGUUGUGGUACUGAUGCAGCUGUGGCUCGUGAUGCUUUUGAAGGAAUGAUAGAGACUUUGUCAAGGACUAAAGAAAGUAUUGGACGUGCAACUCGCCUUGCUAUUGAUUGUGCAAAGUAUGGAAUUGCUACUGAGGUAGUGGAACUUCUCAUACGAAAGCUGGAAACUGAGGCUAGUUUUCAUCGUAAAGUUGAUCUGUUUUUUCUUGUAGAUUCCAUUACCCAAUGCUCGCAUAGUCAGAAAGGCGUUGCUGGAGCUUCAUACAUUCCUGUGGUUCAAGCAGCAUUGCCACGUCUUCUUGGCUCUGCUGCUCCACCUGGAGCCAGUGCUCGUGAAAAUCGUCGUCAGUGUCUUAAGGUUUUGCGGUUGUGGCUUGAGAGGAAAAUCUUACCUGAAUCUAUUAUUCGGCCUUACAUGGAUGACAUUGGCGUUUCAAAUGAUGAUGCAGUCAGUGGUCUUUCGCUGAGACGUCCUUCACGAGCAGAACGAGCUGUAGAUGAUCCAUUAAGAGAAAUGGAAGGCAUGCUUGUUGAUGAAUAUGGGAGUAAUGCUACAUUUCAGCUGCCCGGUUUUUUAUCUUCCCAUGUAUUUGAAGAUGAGGAAGAAGAUUUUCCAGGCAGUUCAUUCAGGGAAGCUGGUGAUGCACCAGCAGUGGAUACAACCCAUGCAUGUGAAGAGUCAGAAACUCAUAUAGUACCUCCAAAUGACAGGCGCCAUUGCAUCUUGGAGGAUGUGGAUGUUGAGCUCGAAAUGGAAGAUGUUUCAGGACACCUGAAGGAUGAAAGACCCUCACUAACAAAUCGUUCUUUUGAAACUGAUUCACAACAGAGCUUGGAUAAGACCUCUGAAUUUACUCCCAAAAAUUCUACCAAGUUGCCUCUGCUGCCAGAAGGUUCUCCACCUUUGCCUCUAGAUUCUCCACCGCCACCACCACCUUUGCCUUCUUCACCACCACCACCACCACCCCCAUCAUCUCCAUCGCCGCCACCUCCACCACCUCCCGUAUCACAGCCACCACCUCCACCGCCUCCCAUUUCACACCCACCACCUCUACCGCCUCCCCUAUCACAGCUACCACCUCCUCCUUUAUCCCAUUCUGGUGCUCCACCUUUGUUGGUUGCUCAAGCUUUACCAAGUCAGCCUUCAUUAGUCUCCCAACCAUUUUUACCACAUCACUCGUCGGUACAGUCUUCACCACAGUUGCCAUAUCAACCACCUGUACCGCAUGAAUAUUGUAGCCCUGCUAGCGGCAACCAACUGGUCCAAAUGGCUAGUCAUGGGGGUCAUAUUGAUAAUGUGCAGAAAAGUGAAAUGUUUCAACAGCAGUCAUUGUGUUUUGCUUCAACAGGAGUAUCCAAUUCUCGUGAGCCAUCUGGGUUUAAUUCUUCAAGGCAAUUAGAAUAUGGACACAAUGAGAUGUAUUUAAACCCACAAAUUUCUCAACCCAAUCAACAAUUUCAACAAGGUGAAACCUCUUUUACGCAAAGACCUUUACACCCUGCUCCACCUCACAACCCAUCCAGUCAUUUCUCUUAUGCAAAACAGACAAUUCAGCAACAUGCUCAGCAUCCAUAUCACCAUCCAAAUUCUUUACCGUCCCUUCCGGAUGGUCAGAGGCAACUUGUUGCCGAUGAACAAUGGAGGAUGCCCUCGGGGGAAUUUAAAACAGAACAUCAGCAUGGUGGGUGGAUGAAUGGAGAGAGAGCUCGUUCGGGACUGACUUUUGCCCAGGAAGGUUAUUUUCGGCCACACCUUGAGAGGCCACUUGCAAAUAAUAUUGGUUUUCAGCGGCCAGCCCCUAAUAAUCUACCAAUUGGAGCUCCAACAUCAGGUCAGGCUGUGUCCCAGAUGUUUCCUUGUAGACCAGACAAUUCUUCUCUUAACUGUUGGAGGCCAGCUUGAUAGUCUCAAGUGAGAACACCUGUAGGUUUUCAGUACUUUGCAGCUGAUUUAAUUUAGAAGGAAAUGCCUUAACGUUCUCCAAAUGAAGUGGAAGGUCACAUGUGAUCAAUUUGUCUUACCUACUUUGGUUGCACCAAGUAGCAAAUGCCAUUUACGUAUUGCCUCGGAGUAAGAUUGAAUUUCAGGGCAAUCCAUCCACACAUGACGGCAGUGUUAAGAACUAGUGGAGGCUCUGGGCAGGACUCUGUAGAUUUUAAUUUUUCCUGACAGGUGUAUCCUGAGAACAUUUUCUGCCUAGUGUAGGCCCAUGUCACUUGACUUGGUUAUGGAAAAACAUUAAAACCAAAAUGUCCACCAUUUUUGAGGUUAUCAAUCUGGUCAUCAAUCCACUAAUAUGGUUUCAUACAUUAUGGCAGAUAUAACUACAAGAUUUUGAGGUAAAUGUUGUAUGAUGCUAAUAACUGGUACACUUUCCUGUUAAACUACUUCUAUCCAUAUGAGGAUGGCUCUCUUACAUGCUCCUCAUAUUAAUUCUAUGAUAAUUCUCUUACAUGCUUCAAGAAUAGAUGGUUCUUUUCUCUGCAA
Carya illinoinensis is the source of this 5457-nucleotide RNA transcript. It is a transcript of the gene named ENHANCER OF AG-4 protein 2-like, with no coding region annotated. The transcript has 13 exons. The record is from RefSeq and is a predicted model, not a curated record. NCBI's taxonomy places the organism in Eukaryota, Viridiplantae, Streptophyta, Magnoliopsida, Fagales, Juglandaceae.